This 465-nucleotide ribosomal RNA is filed under the name uncultured bacterium. Its description in RNAcentral is "partial 16S ribosomal RNA". It matches the Rfam family "Bacterial small subunit ribosomal RNA", at positions 28 to 507 of the family's 1533-position model. The record is from RNAcentral.
GACGAACGCUGGCGGCGUGCUUAACACAUGCAAGUCGAACGGAAAGGCCCCUUUGGGGGUACUCGAGUGGCGAACGGGUGAGUAACACGUGAGUAACCUGCCCUUGACUUCGGGAUAACUACAGGAAACUGGGGCUAAUACCGGAUAGGAAUUCUUGCUGCAUGGUGGGGGUUGGAAAGCUUCGGCGGUUUUGGAUGGACUCGCGGCUUAUCAGCUUGUUGGUGGGGUAGUGGCUUACCAAGGCUUUGACGGGUAGCCGGCCUGAGAGGGCGACCGGCCACAAUGGGACUGAGAGACGGCCCAGACUCCUACGGGAGGCAGCAGUGGGGAAUAUUGCACAAUGGGCGGGAGCCUGAUGCAGCAACGCCGCGUGCGUGAUGACGGCCUUCGGGUUGUAAACCGCUUUCAGCAGGGGCGAAGCUUGUGGUGACGGUACCUUCAGAAGAAGCACCGGCUAACUACGUG